AUUGAACGCUGGCGGCAUGCUUUACACAUGCAAGUCGAACGGUAACAGGUUAAGCUGACGAGUGGCGAACGGGUGAGUAAUGCAUCGGAACGUGCCCGGUCGUGGGGGAUAACGCAGCGAAAGCUGCGCUAAUACCGCAUACGAUCUGAGGAUGAAAGCGGGGGACCGUAAGGCCUCGCGCGAUCGGAGCGGCCGAUGUCAGAUUAGGUAGUUGGUGGGGUAAAGGCUCACCAAGCCGACGAUCUGUAGCUGGUCUGAGAGGACGACCAGCCACACGGGGACUAAGACACGGCCCAGACUCCUACGGGAGGCAGCAGUGGGGAAUGUUGGACAAUGGGCGCAAGCCUGAUCCAGCAAUGCCGCGUGCAGGAAGAAGGCCUUCGGGUUGUAAACUGCCUUUGUACGGAGCGAAAAGGCUCUCUCUAAUACAGGGGGCUCAUGACGGUACCGUAAGAAUAAGCACCGGCUAACUACGUGCCAGCCGCCGCCGUAA
RNAcentral lists this ribosomal RNA (493 nucleotides) under uncultured bacterium. RNAcentral describes it as "partial 16S ribosomal RNA". It matches the Rfam family "Bacterial small subunit ribosomal RNA", at positions 29 to 523 of the family's 1533-position model. The record is from RNAcentral.